GCGAGGCUGAUGAGGCCGCAGGUGACGGCGUGGAAGCCGGAGACGAUGAGGCCGCAGGUGACGGCGUGGAAGCCGGAGACGAAGAGGCCGCAGGUGACGGCGAGGAAGCCGGAGACGAAGAGGCCGCAGGUGACGGCGAGGAAGCCGGAGACGAAGGCACUGCAGCUGGCGGCGUAGAUGGUGAGGCUGCAGCUGGCGUGAAUGAAGAGGCGGCAGCUGGCAUGGAAGCCAGAGACGGAAGCGCUGCAGGCGGCGGCGUGGAAGCCGGAGGCGGCGGCGCUGCAGGCGGCGGCGUGGAAGCCGGGGCGUUAGAUGGUGAGGCUGCCGCUGGCGUGGAUGGUGAAGCUGCAGCUGGCGGCGGCGUGGAAGCCGGAGACGGAGGCGCUGCAGCUGGCGUGAAUGAAGAGGCGGCAGCUGGUGUGGAAGCUAGAGACGGAAGCGCUGCAGGCGGCGGCG
Molecule: long non-coding RNA, 456 nt
Organism: Oreochromis aureus
Lineage: Eukaryota; Metazoa; Chordata; Actinopteri; Cichliformes; Cichlidae
Source: Ensembl